This 1617-nucleotide ribosomal RNA is filed under the name Escherichia coli. RNAcentral's name for it is "partial 23S ribosomal RNA". It matches the Rfam family "Bacterial large subunit ribosomal RNA", at positions 1292 to 2887 of the family's 2925-position model. Lineage: Bacteria; Pseudomonadati; Pseudomonadota; Gammaproteobacteria; Enterobacterales; Enterobacteriaceae. RNAcentral also lists the same sequence under 1 other name. The record is from RNAcentral.
GAAUGCUGACAUAAGUAACGAUAAAGCGGGUGAAAAGCCCGCUCGCCGGAAGACCAAGGGUUCCUGUCCAACGUUAAUCGGGGCAGGGUGAGUCGACCCCUAAGGCGAGGCCGAAAGGCGUAGUCGAUGGGAAACAGGUUAAUAUUCCUGUACUUGGUGUUACUGCGAAGGGGGGACGGAGAAGGCUAUGUUGGCCGGGCGACGGUUGUCCCGGUUUAAGCGUGUAGGCUGGUUUUCCAGGCAAAUCCGGAAAAUCAAGGCUGAGGCGUGAUGACGAGGCACUACGGUGCUGAAGCGACAAAUGCCCUGCUUCCAGGAAAAGCCUCUAAGCAUCAGGUAACAUCAAAUCGUACCCCAAACCGACACAGGUGGUCAGGUAGAGAAUACCAAGGCGCUUGAGAGAACUCGGGUGAAGGAACUAGGCAAAAUGGUGCCGUAACUUCGGGAGAAGGCACGCUGAUAUGUAGGUGAAGCGACUUGCUCGUGGAGCUGAAAUCAGUCGAAGAUACCAGCUGGCUGCAACUGUUUAUUAAAAACACAGCACUGUGCAAACACGAAAGUGGACGUAUACGGUGUGACGCCUGCCCGGUGCCGGAAGGUUAAUUGAUGGGGUUAGCGGUAACGCGAAGCUCUUGAUCGAAGCCCCGGUAAACGGCGGCCGUAACUAUAACGGUCCUAAGGUAGCGAAAUUCCUUGUCGGGUAAGUUCCGACCUGCACGAAUGGCGUAAUGAUGGCCAGGCUGUCUCCACCCGAGACUCAGUGAAAUUGAACUCGCUGUGAAGAUGCAGUGUACCCGCGGCAAGACGGAAAGACCCCGUGAACCUUUACUAUAGCUUGACACUGAACAUUGAGCCUUGAUGUGUAGGAUAGGUGGGAGGCUUUGAAGUGUGGACGCCAGUCUGCAUGGAGCCGACCUUGAAAUACCACCCUUUAAUGUUUGAUGUUCUAACGUGGGCCCCUUACCGGGGUUGCGGACAGUGUCUGGUGGGUAGUUUGACUGGGGCGGUCUCCUCCUAAAGAGUAACGGAGGAGCACGAAGGUUGGCUAAUCCUGGUCGGACAUCAGGAGGUUAGUGCAAUGGCAUAAGCCAGCUUGACUGCGAGCGUGACGGCGCGAGCAGGUGCGAAAGCAGGUCAUAGUGAUCCGGUGGUUCUGAAUGGAAGGGCCAUCGCUCAACGGAUAAAAGGUACUCCGGGGAUAACAGGCUGAUACCGCCCAAGAGUUCAUAUCGACGGCGGUGUUUGGCACCUCGAUGUCGGCUCAUCACAUCCUGGGGCUGAAGUAGGUCCCAAGGGUAUGGCUGUUCGCCAUUUAAAGUGGUACGCGAGCUGGGUUUAGAACGUCGUGAGACAGUUCGGUCCCUAUCUGCCGUGGGCGCUGGAGAACUGAGGGGGGCUGCUCCUAGUACGAGAGGACCGGAGUGGACGCAUCACUGGUGUUCGGGUUGUCAUGCCAAUGGCACUGCCCGGUAGCUAAAUGCGGAAGAGAUAAGUGCUGAAAGCAUCUAAGCACGAAACUUGCCCCGAGAUGAGUUCUCCCUGACUCCUUGAGAGUCCUGAAGGAACGUUGAAGACGACGACGUUGAUAGGCCGGGUGUGUAAGCGCAGCGAUGCGUU